Molecule: ribosomal RNA, 449 nt
Filed under: uncultured bacterium
Lineage: Bacteria
Description: partial 16S ribosomal RNA
Rfam family: Bacterial small subunit ribosomal RNA
Source: RNAcentral
AACGAACGCUGGCGGCAGGCCUAACACAUGCAAGUCGAACGCUGUAGCAAUACAGAGUGGCAGACGGGUGAGUAACGCGUGGGAAUCUUCCUAUCGGUACGGAAUAGCUCAGGGAAACUUGGGGUAAUACCGGAUACGCCCUUCGGGGGAAAGAUUUAUCGCCGAUAGAUGAGCCCGCGUCUGAUUAGCUAGUUGGUGAGGUAAUGGCUCACCAAGGCGACGAUCAGUAGCUGGUCUGAGAGGAUGACCAGCCACACUGGGACUGAGACACGGCCCAGACUCCUACGGGAGGCAGCAGUGGGGAAUGUUGGACAAUGGGGGCAACCCUGAUCCAGCCAUGCCGCGUGAGUGACGAAGGUCUUCGGAUUGUAAAGCUCUUUUGGCGGGGACGAUAAUGACGGUACCCGCAGAAUAAGCCCCGGCUAACUUCGUGCCAGCAGCCGCCGUAA